AUGUAACCGCCAAGGGGGUAGGAGCCCAGAACUAUUCUCUGCUGAAGAGGACAUGCUUGCAGCCAGGAGAGGCAAGGAGGAGUGUGACCGGGAAGCAAAGGUGACAGCUCAGGCAGGACAAUACGACACUCGGCUCAGCAUGUGGUUGCUUAGAAAGCAGAAGCAUGCCUUCCUUUCUUCGAAGUAUAUAACGCAACGGUCUAUGGAAACAAAGAAAUGAGUAAUGAGCUCAUACGCAAGUUUAUCCCGAUUGCCCAGGAGAGGGAGGCUGUUGACAAUCUCUAGAAAUGCAACAAUGAGGCAGAAUGGGAAGCAUGAAAUCAUCAUCAACUCGCCAUGCAAGAAAUACUAUGCUAAAGAUGCCCUACUCAAAUGUGAGGAAGUCUUCCAAAUUCGAAGCCAUAAAAUGUGAUGGCUGAUGUUGUGCCACCUUGCAGCCAUGUCCUCUCUCCCUCCUGAAGUUGAAAUCCAGACACCUGUCCCACCAUUGUUCUGUCUGUGAAGCUCAUUCUAAUAAAC
Molecule: long non-coding RNA, 519 nt
Organism: Mesocricetus auratus (golden hamster)
Lineage: Eukaryota; Metazoa; Chordata; Mammalia; Rodentia; Cricetidae
Exons: 4
Source: RefSeq, a predicted model, not a curated record